UGAGACACAGGUGAUUUCCUGGUUUGAUGCUGCAGUCCCAAAAGAGUGGGUCAUAUCUCUGCUGUAUCCUCUUCUAGAACUCCAAGCAAUCUUCAUUUCUCUGGUUGUACAUAUUGACGCAAAACCGGCUCAGCAAGGUGAUUUGCAAGCUGCCUGCAGUGCCUCCUGGUGAAAUCAUGUUCAUCUCUGCCUUCAAAGCUGAUCGCCUUCAGGUCAACUUGCAACUGGUUGUCAAUUGCCUAAAACUCCUGGAAAAAAAGUAAAGGAACUGGAUUCUGGUCUGACCUAAUCUGUAUCUACACUAAUCUGGGCAGCUCCUCGCCUCCAGUCAGAGGUGCCUGAGUUGAAGAUGCUAAUGUGUAAAAUUAAAUGUGACUACUCUACCCCAGGUUGUAGUAGAAUAGUACCUGACAGAAAUUGCUAAGAACUAUAAUGUGCCAUGUAAAUCCACAGCAACCAUUACAGUGAAUACUUUCAAGAACAAAGAAUGGACUUAAAGCUGAGAUUUUUAUUGUGCACCAGAAGAUCUGUUUUCUACUUAGGAAUGUGGCUUCCAGAGUAGCUCUGCCAGGAUUGUAAAGCAGGUGACAUUUGCACCUUUUCUCCACCCACAUACUUUUCCUAACAGAGCUUGACUUCUGCUGUCACAUGACCCUUAUAAGUUGGUAACAAUAGGGUAGAAAACAAGGAUGAAGAUACCUUAAGUAUUAUACUUACAAGUGUGUUAAAAACAAACACCCAUGGCACAAAAACAGACACACAGACCAAUGGAAUAGAAUAGAAACCCCAGAACUAGACCCACAAACGUAUGGCCAACUAUUCUUUGACAAAGCAGGAAAG
RNA transcript from Prionailurus viverrinus (fishing cat), 840 nucleotides. It is a transcript of the gene named IST1 homolog, with no coding region annotated. The transcript is spliced from 4 exons. NCBI's taxonomy places the organism in Eukaryota, Metazoa, Chordata, Mammalia, Carnivora, Felidae. The record is from RefSeq and is a predicted model, not a curated record.